Molecule: ribosomal RNA, 2902 nt
Filed under: Klebsiella pneumoniae
Lineage: Bacteria; Pseudomonadati; Pseudomonadota; Gammaproteobacteria; Enterobacterales; Enterobacteriaceae
Description: 23S ribosomal RNA
Rfam family: Bacterial large subunit ribosomal RNA
Source: RNAcentral
GGUUAAGCGACUAAGCGUACACGGUGGAUGCCCUGGCAGUCAGAGGCGAUGAAGGACGUGCUAAUCUGCGAAAAGCGUCGGUAAGGUGAUAUGAACCGUUAUAACCGGCGAUGUCCGAAUGGGGAAACCCAGUGCAAUUCGUUGCACUAUCGUUAACUGAAUACAUAGGUUAACGAGGCGAACCGGGGGAACUGAAACAUCUAAGUACCCCGAGGAAAAGAAAUCAACCGAGAUUCCCCCAGUAGCGGCGAGCGAACGGGGAGCAGCCCAGAGUCUGAAUCAGCUUGUGUGUUAGUGGAACGGUCUGGAAAGUCCGACGGUACAGGGUGAUAGUCCCGUACACCAAAAUGCACAGGCUGUGAACUCGAAGAGUAGGGCGGGACACGUGGUAUCCUGUCUGAAUAUGGGGGGACCAUCCUCCAAGGCUAAAUACUCCUGACUGACCGAUAGUGAACCAGUACCGUGAGGGAAAGGCGAAAAGAACCCCGGCGAGGGGAGUGAAAAAGAACCUGAAACCGUGUACGUACAAGCAGUGGGAGCACCUUCGGGUGUGACUGCGUACCUUUUGUAUAAUGGGUCAGCGACUUAUAUUCUGUAGCAAGGUUAACCGUAUAGGGGAGCCGCAGGGAAACCGAGUCUUAACUGGGCGUUAAGUUGCAGGGUAUAGACCCGAAACCCGGUGAUCUAGCCAUGGGCAGGUUGAAGGUUGGGUAACACUAACUGGAGGACCGAACCGACUAAUGUUGAAAAAUUAGCGGAUGACUUGUGGCUGGGGGUGAAAGGCCAAUCAAACCGGGAGAUAGCUGGUUCUCCCCGAAAGCUAUUUAGGUAGCGCCUCGUGAAUUCAUCUUCGGGGGUAGAGCACUGUUUCGGCUAGGGGGUCAUCCCGACUUACCAACCCGAUGCAAACUACGAAUACCGAAGAAUGUUAUCACGGGAGACACACGGCGGGUGCUAACGUCCGUCGUGAAGAGGGAAACAACCCAGACCGCCAGCUAAGGUCCCAAAGUCAUGGUUAAGUGGGAAACGAUGUGGGAAGGCACAGACAGCCAGGAUGUUGGCUUAGAAGCAGCCAUCAUUUAAAGAAAGCGUAAUAGCUCACUGGUCGAGUCGGCCUGCGCGGAAGAUGUAACGGGGCUAAACCAUGCACCGAAGCUGCGGCAGCGACACUAUGUGUUGUUGGGUAGGGGAGCGUUCUGUAAGCCUGCGAAGGUGUGCUGUGAGGCAUGCUGGAGGUAUCAGAAGUGCGAAUGCUGACAUAAGUAACGAUAAAGCGGGUGAAAAGCCCGCUCGCCGGAAGACCAAGGGUUCCUGUCCAACGUUAAUCGGGGCAGGGUGAGUCGACCCCUAAGGCGAGGCCGAAAGGCGUAGUCGAUGGGAAACAGGUUAAUAUUCCUGUACUUGGUGUUACUGCGAAGGGGGGACGGAGAAGGCUAUGUUAGCCGGGCGACGGUUGUCCCGGUUUAAGCAUGUAGGCUGGUUAUCCAGGCAAAUCCGGAUAAUCAAGGCUGAGGUGUGAUGACGAGGCACUACGGUGCUGAAGUAACAAAUGCCCUGCUUCCAGGAAAAGCCUCUAAGCAUCAGGUAACAUUAAAUCGUACCCCAAACCGACACAGGUGGUCAGGUAGAGAAUACCAAGGCGCUUGAGAGAACUCGGGUGAAGGAACUAGGCAAAAUGGUGCCGUAACUUCGGGAGAAGGCACGCUGGUGUGUAGGUGAAGUCCCUGCGGAUGGAGCUGAGACCAGUCGAAGAUACCAGCUGGCUGCAACUGUUUAUUAAAAACACAGCACUGUGCAAACACGAAAGUGGACGUAUACGGUGUGACGCCUGCCCGGUGCCGGAAGGUUAAUUGAUGGGGUUAUCCGUAAGGAGAAGCUCUUGAUCGAAGCCCCGGUAAACGGCGGCCGUAACUAUAACGGUCCUAAGGUAGCGAAAUUCCUUGUCGGGUAAGUUCCGACCUGCACGAAUGGCGUAAUGAUGGCCAGGCUGUCUCCACCCGAGACUCAGUGAAAUUGAACUCGCUGUGAAGAUGCAGUGUACCCGCGGCAAGACGGAAAGACCCCGUGAACCUUUACUAUAGCUUGACACUGAACAUUGAGCCUUGAUGUGUAGGAUAGGUGGGAGGCUUUGAAGCGUGGACGCCAGUCUGCGUGGAGCCAACCUUGAAAUACCACCCUUUAAUGUUUGAUGUUCUAACGUUGGCCCCUUACCGGGGUUGCGGACAGUGUCUGGUGGGUAGUUUGACUGGGGCGGUCUCCUCCCAAAGCGUAACGGAGGAGCACGAAGGUUAGCUAAUCCUGGUCGGACAUCAGGAGGUUAGUGCAAUGGCAUAAGCUAGCUUGACUGCGAGCGUGACGGCGCGAGCAGGUGCGAAAGCAGGUCAUAGUGAUCCGGUGGUUCUGAAUGGAAGGGCCAUCGCUCAACGGAUAAAAGGUACUCCGGGGAUAACAGGCUGAUACCGCCCAAGAGUUCAUAUCGACGGCGGUGUUUGGCACCUCGAUGUCGGCUCAUCACAUCCUGGGGCUGAAGUAGGUCCCAAGGGUAUGGCUGUUCGCCAUUUAAAGUGGUACGCGAGCUGGGUUUAGAACGUCGUGAGACAGUUCGGUCCCUAUCUGCCGUGGGCGCUGGAGAAUUGAGGGGGGCUGCUCCUAGUACGAGAGGACCGGAGUGGACGCAUCACUGGUGUUCGGGUUGUCAUGCCAAUGGCACUGCCCGGUAGCUAAAUGCGGAAGAGAUAAGUGCUGAAAGCAUCUAAGCACGAAACUUGCCCCGAGAUGAGUUCUCCCUGAGACUUUAAGUCUCCUGAAGGAACGUUAAAGACGAUGACGUUGAUAGGCCGGGUGUGUAAGCGCAGCGAUGCGUUGAGCUAACCGGUACUAAUGAACCGUGAGGCUUAACCUU